This 432-nucleotide ribosomal RNA is filed under the name uncultured bacterium. RNAcentral describes it as "partial 16S ribosomal RNA". It matches the Rfam family "Bacterial small subunit ribosomal RNA", at positions 29 to 507 of the family's 1533-position model. The record is from RNAcentral.
AACGAACGCUGGCGGCAUGCCUAACACAUGCAAGUCGAACGAGACCUUCGGGUCUAGUGGCGCACGGGUGCGUAACGCGUGGGAACCUGCCCUUAGGUUCGGAAUAACUCUCUGAAAGGGGUGCUAAUACCGGAUAAUGUCUUCGGACAAAAGAUUCAUCGCCUUUGGAUGGGCCCGCGUUGGAUUAGCUGUUUGGUAGGGUAAAAGCCUACCAAGGCGGCGAUCCAUAGCUGGUCUGAGGGGAGGGUCAGCCACCCUGGGGGUGGGACCAGGCCCGAACCCUGGCGGAGGGGAGCAAGGGGGAAAUAGGGACAUGGGGUGAAAGCCGAACCCAGCAGGGCCGGGAAGGUGUUGAGGGCGUAAGGAUUAGAAGCCGUUUUAACCCGGGAUGUUAAGAAGGUACCCGGAGAAAAAGCCCCGGCUAACUUCGUG